This 253-nucleotide ribosomal RNA is filed under the name uncultured bacterium. Its description in RNAcentral is "partial 16S ribosomal RNA". It matches the Rfam family "Bacterial small subunit ribosomal RNA", at positions 524 to 776 of the family's 1533-position model. The record is from RNAcentral.
UACGUAGGGACCAAGCGUUGUUCGGAUUUCCUGGGCGUAAAGGGCGCGUAGGCGGUCGUCCAAGUCGCGUGUGAAAGCCCCCGGCUCAACUGGGGAGGGUCACGCGAUACUGGUCGACUCGAAGGCAGGAGAGGGUAGUGGAAUUCCCGGUGUAGUGGUGAAAUGCGUAGAUAUCGGGAGGAACACCAGUGGCGAAGGCGACUACCUGGCCUGUUCUUGACGCUGAGGCGCGAAAGCUAGGGGAGCAAACGGG